AAUCAACGCUGGCGGCGUGCCUAACACAUGCAAGUCGAACGAGAAAGGGUAGCAAUACCUGAGUAAAGUGGCGCACGGGUGAGUAACACGUGACUAACCUACCCUGGAGUGGGGGAUAACUGAGGGAAACCUUAGCUAAUACCGCAUAAUACCUACGGGUCAAAGGAGCAAUUCGCUUCAGGAGGGGGUCGCGGCCGAUUAGUUAGUUGGCGGGGUAAUGGCCCACCAAGACAGUGAUCGGUAUCCGGCCUGAGAGGGCGCACGGACACACUGGAACUGAAACACGGUCCAGACUCCUACGGGAGGCAGCAGUGGGGAAUUUUGCGCAAUGGGGGAAACCCUGACGCAGCAACGCCGCGUGGAGGAUGAAGUACUUCGGUACGUAAACUCCUUUCGAUCGGGACGAUAAUGACGGUACCGGAAGAAGAAGCCCCGGCUAACUUCGUGCCAGCAGCCGCGGUAAUACGAGGGGGGCAAGCGUUGUUCGGAAUUAUUGGGCGUAAAGGGUGCGUAGGCGGUUUGGUAAGUCUUUUGUGAAAUCUAUGGGCUCAACUCAUAGACUGCAAGGGAAACUGCCGGGCUUGAGUAUGGGAGAGGUGAGUGGAAUUCCUGGUGUAGCGGUGAAAUGCGUAGAUAUCAGGAGGAACACCUGUGGCGAAAGCGGCUCACUGGACCAUAACUGACGCUGAUGCACGAAAGCUAGGGGAGCAAACAGGAUUAGAUACCCUGGUAGUCCUAGCCCUAAACGAUGACUGCUUGGUGUGACGGGUACCCAAUCCCGCCGUGCCGUAGCUAACGCGUUAAGCAGUCCGCCUGGGGAGUACGGUCGCAAGGCUG
RNAcentral lists this ribosomal RNA (837 nucleotides) under uncultured bacterium. RNAcentral's name for it is "bacterial SSU rRNA". It matches the Rfam family "Bacterial small subunit ribosomal RNA", at positions 28 to 896 of the family's 1533-position model. The record is from RNAcentral.